UACGAAGGGGGCUAGCGUUGCUCGGAAUUACUGGGCGUAAAGCGCACGUAGGCGGUCUUUUAAGUCAGGGGUGAAAUCCUGGAGCUCAACUCCAGAACUGCCUUUGAUACUGAGGAUCUUGAGUUCGGGAGAGGUGAGUGGAACUGCGAGUGUAGAGGUGAAAUUCGUAGAUAUUCGCAAGAACACCAGUGGCGAAGGCGGCUCACUGGCCCGAUACUGACGCUGAGGCACGAAAGCGUGGGGAGCAAACAGG
Molecule: ribosomal RNA, 253 nt
Filed under: uncultured bacterium
Lineage: Bacteria
Description: partial 16S ribosomal RNA
Rfam family: Bacterial small subunit ribosomal RNA
Source: RNAcentral